UACGAAGGGGGCUAGCGUUGCUUGGAAUCACUGGGCGUAAAGGGUGCGUAGGCGGGUCUUUAAGUCAGGGGUGAAAUCCUGGAGCUCAACUCCAGAACUGCCUUUGAUACUGAGGAUCUUGAGUUCGGGAGAGGUGAGUGGAACUGCGAGUGUAGAGGUGAAAUUCGUAGAUAUUCGCAAGAACACCGGUGGCGAAAGCGGCUCACUGGAUCUCUUCUGACGCUGAGGCACGAAAGCUAGGGUAGCGAACGGG
This 253-nucleotide ribosomal RNA is filed under the name uncultured bacterium. RNAcentral describes it as "partial 16S ribosomal RNA". It matches the Rfam family "Bacterial small subunit ribosomal RNA", at positions 524 to 776 of the family's 1533-position model. The record is from RNAcentral.